GCUCUCUUCGGAGGGAGUGGCGCACGGGUGAGUAACACGUGGGAACCUACCCUGAGGUGCGGAAUAACCGUUGGAAACGACGGCUAAUACCGCAUAUCCCCUGCGGGGGAAAGAUUUAUCGCCUUGGGAUGGGCCCGCGGUCGAUUAGCUAGUUGGUGUGGUAAUGGCGCACCAAGGCGACGAUCGAUAGCUGGUCUGAGAGGAUGACCAGCCACACUGGGACUGAGACACGGCCCAGACUCCUACGGGAGGCAGCAGUGGGGAAUAUUGGACAAUGGGCGCAAGCCUGAUCCAGCCAUGCCGCGUGAGUGAUGAAGGCCUUCGGGUUGUAAAGCUCUUUCAGGUGGGACGAUGAUGACGGUACCACCAGAAGAAGCCCCGGCUAACUUCGUGCCAGCAGCCGCGGUAAUACGAAGGGGGCUAGCGUUGUUCGGAUUUACUGGGCGUAAAGCGCGCGUAGGCGGUCCUGCCAGUCAGAGGUGAAAGCCCAGGGCUCAACCCUGGAACGGCCUUUGAUACUGCAGGACUUGAGUUCGGGAGAGGGGCAUGGAAUUCCCAGUGUAGAGGUGAAAUUCGUA
This 578-nucleotide ribosomal RNA is filed under the name Roseospira sp. JA910. RNAcentral describes it as "bacterial SSU rRNA". It matches the Rfam family "Bacterial small subunit ribosomal RNA", at positions 72 to 692 of the family's 1533-position model. Lineage: Bacteria; Pseudomonadati; Pseudomonadota; Alphaproteobacteria; Rhodospirillales; Rhodospirillaceae. The record is from RNAcentral.